GAGCACGUAGGUGGGUUUGUAAGUCGGUUGUGAAAGCCUUCUGCUUAACGGAAGAACAGCAUCCGAUACUGCAUGGCUCGAGUGCGGGAGGGGAGAGUGGAACUUCUGGUGGAGCGGUGAAAUGCGUAGAUAUCAGAAGGAACGCCGGCGGCGAAAGCGACUCUCUGGCCCGUAACUGACGCUGAGUGUGCGAAAGCUAGGGGAGCAAACGGGAUUAGAUACCCCGGUAGUCCUAGCCGUAAACGAUGGGCACUAAGUAGAGGGGUUUU
This 269-nucleotide ribosomal RNA is filed under the name uncultured anaerobic ammonium-oxidizing bacterium. Its description in RNAcentral is "partial 16S ribosomal RNA". It matches the Rfam family "Bacterial small subunit ribosomal RNA", at positions 565 to 832 of the family's 1533-position model. The record is from RNAcentral.